UCUUUCAUGCCAAAUUAUUUAACAAGCAACUCAUUAUCCGAUUUCUAACAGUGUAAAUGCCAAAAGUAAAUCAGAAACCUAUCGUUUUAAGGGCACGACGUAAAAUUCGUUAGGAGGAACUUGUUUUUUCCCUUCUUGCCACAAGCGUCCCAGACUCACGAUUCGAAGAAUCGAUCAAAUAUUUUAUAUAUGGUUAUCGAGUGGGACGUGACCGCAGUGUUGUGUUUCACUUAGGUCAUUGAGAAUUUGAGCGCUCUAAAAGGCAUUGUAUGGAGUUUAAAAUGACGAAUGAUAAAAAAGCGCAAUAAAAUAAAAUGUUACUUUAAAAAAAAUAAAAAUAAAUAAAGGACGAAGUUUAUAGAAAGCCGCUACAAACACCUCAGAAACCCCCAAAACGAUGAAAUAGGCCAAAUGGACAGCGGAAGCCAGGCAAGGCGGGUAUAUUUGUUUUAUUUUAUUUAAAAAUAGUAACAUUUUAUUUUGCUGAGCUUCUUUAUUCUUCGUUAUUUUAAACUCUAUACAAUGCCAUUUUAGAGCGCUCAGAUAGUGUAACACAACACCCCGCACUUUAGGUGGUCACGUCUCACUCGAUACGCGUACAUAAAUCAUUAAUAUUUGAUCGCCGAUCCCUGGAAUCGUGAGUUUGGGAUGCUUGUGUUCUUCCUCGCGUUUCUCGCCUCUUCGUCUCCUUCUCCGCAAUACGCCUACAACGCAGCUUAGAAACGUCAAGAACGCCUCAUCUUUGGCUACCAGUGGCGUAGCGGAUAGAUAGAUGUAAAGGAAAUCCCGGCGAGAAAGACAAUUCCCGGGAGAUAAUCUUUGCAGAGACCUUGUUUUAUGGCUUCCUGACUCGGACAAGAUAAUAAUGACGAUGACGAUGGCUUCAUGACACCCGGAGAGCCACGUUUACCCUAGUCGUACUUUGUCAUUUUCGUAGUAGAAUUAACUGAUUGCAAGGGAAUGAGAAAGAAGUCUCUCCUCUGUCGCCGUCUUUCGACGACAGCUGACAGCAUCACUCAAGUCGGCAUUCUUUCACGUGUUGUCGUCCAUCGAUGGUUGUUUGGAGCUGUUCCCUGACGCUUUCAGCUGUUUCGAUGGAAUGUCCGCGUGAUCAGUUAGUCGGCUGCCAGUGUCUGCUUCACUCUCGUCCAGCAUGCGUGGGUAUGAAGUAGUUAAAACAGAUUUUUUAUGUCAGCGUAUUACAAGUUGCAGCUUUUGAUAUAUGUGAGCUUAGAUGUAGAGAGGCUCAUGCAUUGGAGUGCGGUUGUUUUGUUUAAGGGGUGACAAAUUUGCUACAAAUCGAAUCGAUUCGUCACAACCUCGUGUCGCUGCGAAAGUCAACCUGGUGACAAACAAGUGUAAAUGUGUAGCUCUGGUGACGAAUUAAUUUCGAAAACCUACUGCACCCAGCCCAGAAUUUCACCGGUAGAGAGUUUUUGAUUGCGAAGCAACUUGAAAAUACCUGGCCAAUUUGACUAAUGCGCCGUUCAAUUCCAAGCUUCAACAUCCAACCCCCCGGCAUUUUCUCGCCCCCUGAGCCAAAAUUGCGUUCAAAUGCACUACCCAAGUGCCGGAUCCGAUGGGUUUGGGAAAGUAAAUCACCAUUUUGAUUGUAGAUUUACUGUUGAACAAUUUUUAAUUGAAGGAUUCCUUGUGUGAUCCUCGAACUUUGUAAAAUUUAGCAAAGUCGGGUAUUGAUUUUUGUGCGGAAUUUCCCACAGUUUGUCAACGUCAGCGAUAUUUAUUCAUUUAUUUAUUUAUUUAUUUAUUUGUCCAC
This is a long non-coding RNA of Orbicella faveolata, 1777 nucleotides long. The record is from RefSeq and is a predicted model, not a curated record. Lineage: Eukaryota; Metazoa; Cnidaria; Anthozoa; Scleractinia; Merulinidae.